GAUGAACGCUGGCGGCGUGCCUAAUACAUGCAAGUCGAACGCUGGAGAUCUAGCUUGCUAGAUCGAAGGAGUGGCGAACGGGUGAGUAAUACAUAAGCAACCUACCCACGAAGACUGGGAUAAUCUCUGGAAACGGGGACUAAUACCGGAUAGGUAAUCGGAAGGCAUCUUCUGGUUAUUAAAGGUUAAAAACACUGGUGGAUGGGCUUAUGGCGCAUUAGUUAGUUGGUGAGGUAACGGCCCACCAAGACGAUGAUGCGUAGCCGGCCUGAGAGGGUGAACGGCCACAUUGGGACUGAGACACAGCCCAGACUGCUACGGGAGGCAGCAGUAGGGAAUUUUCGGCAAUGGGGGCAACCCUGACCGAGCAACGCCGCGUGAGUGAAGACGGCCUUCGGGUUGUAAAGCUCUGUUGUAAGGGAAGAACGGUAGAUAGAGAAUAUCUAAGUGACGGUACCUUACCAGAAAGCCACGGCUAACUACGUG
Molecule: ribosomal RNA, 486 nt
Filed under: uncultured bacterium
Lineage: Bacteria
Description: partial 16S ribosomal RNA
Rfam family: Bacterial small subunit ribosomal RNA
Source: RNAcentral